Molecule: ribosomal RNA, 325 nt
Filed under: uncultured eukaryote
Lineage: Eukaryota
Description: partial 18S ribosomal RNA
Rfam family: Eukaryotic small subunit ribosomal RNA
Source: RNAcentral
CCCUUAGAUGUUCUGGGCUGCACGCGCGCUACACUGAAGCGUUCAACGAGUAUUCACCUUGCCCGGGAGGGUUGGGUAAUCUUUUGAAAACGCUUCGUGAUGGGGAUAGAUUAUUGCAAUUAUUAAUCUUCAACGAGGAAUUCCUAGUAAGCGCGAGUCAUCAGCUCGUGCUGAUUACGUCCCUGCCCUUUGUACACACCGCCCGUCGCUCCUACUGAUUGAGUGAUCCGGUGAAUAAUUCGGACUGCAGCACUGCUUGGUCUCCAGGCUUUGCAGCGGAAAGUUUAGUGAACCUUAUCACUUAGAGGAAGGAGAAGUCGUAACA